Molecule: ribosomal RNA, 295 nt
Filed under: Streptococcus pyogenes
Lineage: Bacteria; Bacillati; Bacillota; Bacilli; Lactobacillales; Streptococcaceae
Description: partial 16S ribosomal RNA
Rfam family: Bacterial small subunit ribosomal RNA
Source: RNAcentral
UUUACUUCGGUACAUCGGUGACAGGUGGUGCAUGGUUGUCGUCAGCUCGUGUCGUGAGAUGUUGGGUUAAGUCCCGCAACGAGCGCAACCCCUAUUGUUAGUUGCCAUCAUUAAGUUGGGCACUCUAGCGAGACUGCCGGUAAUAAACCGGAGGAAGGUGGGGAUGACGUCAAAUCAUCAUGCCCCUUAUGACCUGGGCUACACACGUGCUACAAUGGUUGGUACAACGAGUCGCAAGCCGGUGACGGCAAGCUAAUCUCUUAAAGCCAAUCUCAGUUCGGAUUGUAGGCUGCAA